Molecule: RNA transcript, 604 nt
Organism: Arabidopsis thaliana (thale cress)
Lineage: Eukaryota; Viridiplantae; Streptophyta; Magnoliopsida; Brassicales; Brassicaceae
Exons: 1
Source: RefSeq
UUUUUUUUUCUCAUAUGUUAUUAAAGAAACCAAAAGUUGGUUAUAAGGCCACAAAGCCCACACUGAAUUUGCAGAAAAUAAGAAAGUGAAGCCCAACAAGAGUCCACCACAAAUUACAUCGAAACAAAGGAGAUUUAGCAUUUGGAUUCUAUCAAAACACGUGUCAACUUGAAAGUACAACCGUAACACAUGUUGAUGAGUUAACAGAAGUCUAUCGACAUCAACUUUCGUCACCGACGAACACCGAAUCUGGUAAGGAAAACAUAGCCGAAAAAUCGCACGAAGAAUCCUUGUUUACCACCGAAAUAUAACUGAACGAAGCUCAAUUUAAAGAGACGACAUAAAGAUCUUGUAAUAAGCAUCUGAAUGUUCUUCGAUCCUUUGAGCAAGACAUAAUCUCUUGAUUAAGUUCCUGCAAAUCAAGGUUUCUAAAGACACAAAUCGAAAACAUUAAUCUUAAGCAAUCAACACCUAAAAACUAAUUCUCAACUGAGAUCUAUAGUUGUUAUUGAAAAACACAAAAGAAAAGAUAAAGUCAAUCGGCAAAAAAACAAAUCGACGACGAAAAAGAGAAAAGUCAGUCAAAACCGUCAUUGAAAACCAG